UACCAAAAUAAUUUCAAUUGUUCGGAUAAAAUGUGUUAUAGAACUAGAAAGUCAUCGUUUAUAUUGUUAAUGGCAUUUUGGCGUUAAAUAUGUUUGAAGUCAUAGGUACCCGUGAAUGGCCGUAAUUGUGUAAUGCUGUUGGAUUGAAGUGAACCACAAGUGACAAAAUGUAUCUAAAACCACGACUACAGCUACAUCCAGGGGAAGCAAUAACCUUUCUGAAAUAUUUAAGGAGGUGACAACAUUUUUAAGCGAGUAGAAAUCCCGAGAAAUUUUAAGGCAAAUAGCAGUUCCAGUAAUACAAAGUAUGACCACCUGAUACGGUACCAAUCAUUAAUAUUUAUUUUAUUCAGGGUUCAUAUGGCGAUUGCUUCCGAAUUGGGUCCCGAAUUUAAAAUUACUACACUAGUUGGGUCCCGAAUUAUUUUAGG
Long non-coding RNA from Sipha flava (yellow sugarcane aphid), 431 nucleotides. RefSeq lists it as uncharacterized. Lineage: Eukaryota; Metazoa; Arthropoda; Insecta; Hemiptera; Aphididae. The transcript has 3 exons. The record is from RefSeq and is a predicted model, not a curated record.